This 468-nucleotide ribosomal RNA is filed under the name uncultured bacterium. Its description in RNAcentral is "partial 16S ribosomal RNA". It matches the Rfam family "Bacterial small subunit ribosomal RNA", at positions 28 to 507 of the family's 1533-position model. The record is from RNAcentral.
GACGAACGCUGGCGGCGUGCUUAACACAUGCAAGUCGAACGGAAAGGCCCUGCUUUUGUGGGGUGCUCGAGUGGCGAACGGGUGAGUAACACGUGAGUAAUCUGCCCUUGACUUUGGGAUAACUUUGGGAAACUGGGGCUAAUACCGGAUAGGAGCUCCUGCUGCAUGGUGGGGGUUGGAAAGUUUUGGCGGUUGGGGAUGGACUCGCGGCUUAUCAGCCUGUUGGUGGGGUAGUGGCUUACCAAGGCUUUGACGGGUAGCCGGCCUGAGAGGGUGAACGGCCACAUUGGGACUGAGAUACGGCCCAGACUCCUACGGGAGGCAGCAGUGGGGAAUAUUGCACAAUGGGCGGAAGCCUGAUGCAGCAACGCCGCGUGCGGGAUGACGGCCUUCGGGUUGUAAACCGCUUUCGCCUGUGACGAAGCGCGAGUGACGGUACUGGGUAAAGAAGCACCGGCUAACUACGUG